CACACACACACACACACACACUCACACAAACAACAGCACCAACAAUAUGAGCCUCAGGUUCAAAGUAUACUCCUUGAAAACACUCCAUAGUAGAUAUACAGCUUGAGUAGGACUUGUAAUCAGCUGAGUGGACCUCCAUCACAGCAGUGUUCACAUCACUUGUUCUUCAGAGUUGUACAGAGGCUGAACAGGGCUGCAUCUCUUUGUCAGAGCGAGGUGAAGAGACCUUCUGAGGAGUGUGUGUCUGCUGGCUGCAGCUGAUCCAGAGCAGGAGACCUGUCCUCCCUCCCAGCCUGUCUUCUGUCAGAGCCAGAGGGCUGCAGCUGCUCUCUUGUGUCCUGUCAGUGGGUGGAGCUCAGCUGUCUGUCUCUUCUCCACCAGACUCCACAGACAGAGCGACCACACACAGACUGACCUCCAUCUUCUGUCCUUCAAACAGGACAAAAGUUCACGUGUCCUCCAGUGGUGUCAUUGUGUCUGUCCUGCUGUCUGCUGCAGCAGAUCAGGAGACUUUAAAACAGGAUCCAUCACAGCUGUUUGUUCAGAUUGGACUGAAUCUGUUCAGAAGUCUCACUGAUUAUUACAUUUAUUUAACACCUCCAGGUGUGAAGAUCAUCAUCAUGAAUCAAAGUGAUUCAUCUUUUCUUUUCAUUUUCUUUUAUUGCUGUUCUUUAUAUAAAUGGGCUUUGUGCCGUUGGACUUUUGAUGAUUUGCCUUUUAGAUUUAAUUGGUGCAAUUCUGGAGAACGAGUGAUCAUUUCUAGGCUUUUAUUGAUAAACAGUGUUUUGUCAUCUUUAUCUCAACGUUUCCUCUCUUUUCUUCUUUUCUUCUACCACCUGCUCCUCUGUUCAGUCUUCCUCACCUCUCACUGAACAGUCUGACUGACAUCAGCUGCAUUGAAUCCCAUGAAAAGAUCAGUCACAAGUUUGUUCCUUUUUAUUCAGUCUACAUGUGAUAUUUGAGAACAAGAAAGGUUCCGUCUUCACAGCAACUCUGCCACGUUCAUGAGCCGUCAUCAGACUCACACGUCCACUUCAUCUCUGUCCUGUGAUAUAUAAGGAACAAUAGAAGAAGCUCUCCACAGCUCACUGUAGUCUUUAGCUCUGCUGGUUAAACUACAGCAACAUCACAUUGAUAUUGUUGAAUGAAUUAUGAUAAAUUACCACUGAU
Molecule: long non-coding RNA, 1170 nt
Organism: Acanthopagrus latus (yellowfin seabream)
Lineage: Eukaryota; Metazoa; Chordata; Actinopteri; Spariformes; Sparidae
Exons: 2
Source: RefSeq, a predicted model, not a curated record